This 497-nucleotide ribosomal RNA is filed under the name uncultured bacterium. RNAcentral's name for it is "partial 16S ribosomal RNA". It matches the Rfam family "Bacterial small subunit ribosomal RNA", at positions 28 to 507 of the family's 1533-position model. The record is from RNAcentral.
GAUGAACGCUGGCGGCGUGCCUAAUACAUGCAAGUCGAGCGAACAGACGAGGAGCUUGCUCCUCUGACGUUAGCGGCGGACGGGUGAGUAACACGUGGAUAACCUACCUAUAAGACUGGGAUAACUUCGGGAAACCGGAGCUAAUACCGGAUAAUAUAUUGAACCGCAUGGUUCAAUAGUGAAAGACGGUUUUGCUGUCACUUAUAGAUGGAUCCGCGCCGCAUUAGCUAGUUGGUAAGGUAACGGCUUACCAAGGCAACGAUGCGUAGCCGACCUGAGAGGGUGAUAGGCCACACUGGAACUGGGACACGGUCAAGACUCCUAAGGGAGGCAGCAGUAGGGAAUCUUCCGCAAUGGGCGAAAGCCUGACGGAGCAACGCCGCGUGAGUGAUGAAGGUCUUCGGAUCGUAAAACUCUGUUAUUAGGGAAGAACAAAUGUGUAAGUAACUAUGCACGUCUUGACGGUACCUAAUCAGAAAGCCACGGCUAACUACGUG